UGGGGUUAUGUCAGUUUGGA
This 20-nucleotide unclassified non-coding RNA is filed under the name Chlamydomonas reinhardtii. RNAcentral describes it as "small RNA Cre_3399". Lineage: Eukaryota; Viridiplantae; Chlorophyta; Chlorophyceae; Chlamydomonadales; Chlamydomonadaceae. The record is from RNAcentral.